RNAcentral lists this ribosomal RNA (449 nucleotides) under Brucella melitensis. Its description in RNAcentral is "partial 16S ribosomal RNA". It matches the Rfam family "Bacterial small subunit ribosomal RNA", at positions 1 to 505 of the family's 1533-position model. Lineage: Bacteria; Pseudomonadati; Pseudomonadota; Alphaproteobacteria; Hyphomicrobiales; Brucellaceae. The record is from RNAcentral.
UUUKRRAAAAWUGUCCUGGCUCAGAACGAACGCUGGCGGCAGGCUUAACACAUGCAAGUCGAGCGCCCCGCAAGGGGAGCGGCAGACGGGWGAGUAACGCGUGGGAACGUACCAUUUGCUACGGAAUAACUCAGGGAAACWUGUGCUAAUACCGUAUGUGCYYWUCGGGGGAAAGAUUUAUCGGCAAAUGAUCGGCCCGCGUUGGAUUAGCUAGUUGGUGGGGUAAAGGCACACCAAGGCGACGAUCCAUAGCWGGUCUAGAGGAUGAUCGGCCACACWGGGACUAGACACGGCCCGGACUCWACGGGAGGCGGCAUGGGGAAUAUUGGACKAUGGGCGCKAGCUWGAUCCAGCCAUGCCGCGUGAAGUGAUGAAGGCCUAGGGUUGUAAAGCCCUWUCACCGGUGAAAGAUUAAUGACGGUAACSGAGAAGAAAUCCSGCMWAUCCWG